This is a long non-coding RNA of Sinocyclocheilus anshuiensis, 613 nucleotides long. RefSeq lists it as uncharacterized. The transcript is spliced from 3 exons. The record is from RefSeq and is a predicted model, not a curated record. Lineage: Eukaryota; Metazoa; Chordata; Actinopteri; Cypriniformes; Cyprinidae.
GUAACAAUUAGAAAUAAGUUCUGUAAUAAUUACAAAUAAGAUCUUUGGAAUAAAAUGCGGCCUUGAGUUUAUUUUCAUCAAAAUAUCAAGUAAUCUGCGUAGAAUUGACAAUAUGAGCUCUGUUGGGUUGUCUAAAUAAUUUGCGUGUGACUUGUGUAUUUUUUCCCAGAUGGAUAUUACAAUUCAAAAAGGGGGGUCUCUGCCAGAACUAAUACAGUGCACCAAAUGCUGCAGUCAUUUCCACUGUCCAUUUUGUGAUGCCUCAGUUUUCCAACCAACACGGUUGGCAAAAGUGCAAACGCAUCUGCAGGCACAUUUCAAUAGAUCGGUCCAGCAUGAAGGUAAUAUUUGCAGUGUGUGCAUGUUUUAUUUUAUUAAUUGGUUUAUUUGUACAGGCCAUCAUUCAUGGCCUUUGCGAGCUGCAGGGCUUGUCUUGGCAGGAGGCUGAAGAGAUGUUCCUCCAGGGCCCCACUUAUCACUCAAGUGAAGUUGAGGAAUUUGACAGAAGAAUUGCUCGAGAAAUGAAAAAUCUCCCCAACAAGAAUCUCGAUGACUUGUAGGACCUCAUGAAAAAGAAUACAAAAAUAAAGUUUGGUGUGAGAAAAUGACUCCG